Long non-coding RNA from Tyto alba (common barn owl), 365 nucleotides. RefSeq lists it as uncharacterized. Lineage: Eukaryota; Metazoa; Chordata; Aves; Strigiformes; Tytonidae. The record is from RefSeq and is a predicted model, not a curated record. The transcript has 3 exons.
AGAAGCAAUAUUGUUGGGAUGCCUAGGAUUUCAAAAUCUGACUUCAUAUUAAGCAUAAAACAUGUAUUAAAACACAUAUUAUAAGUCAAGAAGAACACAUCUUUCAGUUUUUGAGACGUAUUUAAAAUACUGCGCAGAUAAAGAUUUGGAUUUGGCUUGCUUGAUGCUGGACGAUUAAUGAAGGAAGCCCUAACUGGACAAAUGUUGGUCUCCUGAGACAAUGUGUUGUUGAUAACAGGAAAAGAUUGACAAUAAGAGGUGGAUGUUCAUCUUUAAUGAACUCUAGUUACCAAAGUGGAAACCGGCUAACUUUGAUGGUGCAACUGACCACCUUCUCAGCAACAGCUGAGUAUUUACUCCGUCUU